This 77-nucleotide transfer RNA is filed under the name Candidatus Stercoripulliclostridium merdipullorum. Its description in RNAcentral is "tRNA-Met". It matches the Rfam family "tRNA". From Rfam's summary of the family: Transfer RNA (tRNA) molecules are approximately 80 nucleotides in length. Their secondary structure includes four short double-helical elements and three loops (D, anti-codon, and T loops). The record is from RNAcentral. Lineage: Bacteria; Bacillati; Bacillota; Clostridia; Eubacteriales.
CGCGGGGUGGAGCAGUUGGUAGCUCGUCGGGCUCAUAACCCGAAGGUCAUGUGGUUCAAGUCCCAUCCCCGCUACCA